Molecule: ribosomal RNA, 253 nt
Filed under: uncultured bacterium
Lineage: Bacteria
Description: partial 16S ribosomal RNA
Rfam family: Bacterial small subunit ribosomal RNA
Source: RNAcentral
UACAGAGGGGGCAAGCGUUGUUCGGAAUUACUGGGCGUAAAGGGCGCGUAGGCGGCCUGUUAAGUCGAACGUGAAAUCCCCGGGCUCAACCCGGGAACUGCGUCCGAUACUGGCAGGCUUGAAUUCGGGAGAGGGAUGCGGAAUUCCAGGUGUAGCGGUGAAAUGCGUAGAUAUCAGGAGGAACACCCGUGGCGAAAGCGGCUCUCUGGGACGGUACUGACGCUGAGACGCGAAAGCGUGGGGAGCAAACAGG